UCUGUGCCGGGGUCGAGGCUCCCCCAGACCACGCAGGAACCAACCCUCGAGGCCGAGCAGGCUCAAGCUUUUUGGUUUUCCCCUCUGGGACAUCCUUGCUGCUGUGAAAGGUGUUUCUGAAGGAGCUGAGGGAGAGCCCAGCCCAGGGAGGAGCUCCCAGCCGGAUUGUCCCGAACGUGACAGCGAGCGGGCGGCCACAGCUGAGCAGGGUCGGGAGGGGAACGAAGCAGCUCUGGGACUGGAAAAACACUGACUGCAAAUGAGAGCUCAGCCUGAGGAGCAAAAGCUGCCCCCAAAGCCAGCAGUCACCCUCCUGCAGCAUCCACCUUCCCUGCAUUACUGGGAAAAGCAACUAACUCCUGAUUUACUCAGAGCUCCUGCUUACACGUGCGAGGAGCCCCAGAAAUGCCCGUUUUAAGCGAUUCCCAGCCACAUCCGACUGAGCAACAAUAGGUGGAGCUGCAGGAGCUGCCGGCGGCCCGGAGGAGCGCAGCGCCGCUCGGGCAGGGAGGGCCCGGCCGGAGCCGCUGGCCUGGGCCAGCCCGGGCUCCACCGACACGGCCCGGCUGCAGACAGCCUGCACGGGAACUGCCUCUGCUCUGGAAAGAACCUGCUGCAUUCAUCAACUUGGGAGCGAUUUCAAAGCCAUGUCAUCCUCUAGACACAGCCACCUCUGGAAGAGCCCCAGGACAGUGUUUGGAAGUGGAACUGGAGACGUUUCCUGGCCAGAGCAGCACUGAGUGCAGCAGGACAGAGCCUGACCUGGAGGGAGCUGGUCCUGCCCACCCUGGGCAGGGCAUACAGGACUGUGUGAAGUGCAGCUUACAGGCAGCAAGGUGCCCCACGGAGAGCCUGAGAGGCAAGGAGAGAAACAUCAAGAGGGGAAAUUAGAUGGAGAAACUCAGCUCAGCUGAAGUAGAGCGUCCCUCCUGCUGUCCUGAGCACAGCCCUCAGAGCCUCCUCCUCUUCAAGCUCUGCCUGGCUCUGGCUGGACCACAGGAGCAUUUCCUGCCCUGCAGGGUGGCCCUGAAGCAUCAGCCUGUGCCUGGCCUUGCAGAGGCUCUGGCCUGGCUGCCUCCAUCACCUGCAAGCAGCAGAUGAUAAAAGGAGAAGAGAAAGCUGCAAGUCAGUGCUGGCAGUUUGUGGCCUCUCAUCACUGCUGCCAGCUCCUGGCCAGGGCUCCAAGAGCUCAGCCAGAGCCUGGCACAGCCAGAGCCACA
Non-coding RNA from Taeniopygia guttata (zebra finch), 1220 nucleotides. The record is from RefSeq and is a predicted model, not a curated record. Lineage: Eukaryota; Metazoa; Chordata; Aves; Passeriformes; Estrildidae.